Molecule: ribosomal RNA, 1731 nt
Filed under: Sporendonema purpurascens
Lineage: Eukaryota; Fungi; Ascomycota; Eurotiomycetes; Onygenales; Gymnoascaceae
Description: partial small subunit ribosomal RNA
Rfam family: Eukaryotic small subunit ribosomal RNA
Source: RNAcentral
CNUGCUUYUCAAGAUWAGCCAUGCAKGUCUAAGUAUAAGCAAUCUAUACAGUGAAACUGCGAAUGGCUCAUUAAAUCAGUUAUCGUUUAUUUGAUAGUACCUUACUACUUGGAUAACCGUGGUAAUUCUAGAGCUAAUACAUGCUAAAAAUCCCGACCUCUGGAAGGGAUGUAUUUAUUAGAUAAAAAACCAAUGCCUUCGGGCUCCUUGGUGAUUCAUGAUAACUUUACGAAUCGCAUGGCCUUGCGCCGGCGAUGGUUCAUUCAAAUUUCUGCCCUAUCAACUUUCGAUGGUAGGAUAGUGGCCUACCAUGGUUUCAACGGGUAACGGGGAAUUAGGGUUCUAUUCCGGAGAGGGAGCCUGAGAAACGGCUACCACAUCCAAGGAAGGCAGCAGGCGCGCAAAUUACCCAAUCCCGACGCGGGGAGGUAGUGACAAUAAAUACUGAUACAGGGCCCUUUCGGGUCUUGUAAUUGGAAUGAGUACAAUUUAAAUCCAUUAACGAGGAACAAUUGGAGGGCAAGUCUGGUGCCAGCAGCCGCGGUAAUUCCAGCUCCAAUAGCGUAUAUUAAAGUUGUUGCAGUUAAAAAGCUCGUAGUUGAACCUUGGGUCUGGGUGACCGGUCCGCAUAACUGCGUGCACUGGGAACCCGGGCCUUUCCUUCUGGCCAACCCCAUGCCCUUCACUGGGUGUGCGGGGGAACCAGGACUUUUACUUUGAAAAAAUUAGAGUGUUCAAAGCAGGCAUUUGCUCGAAUACAUUAGCAUGGAAUAAUAGAAUAGGACGUGUGGUUCUAUUUUGUUGGUUUCUAGGACCGCCGUAAUGAUUAAUAGGGAUAGUCGGGGGCAUCCGUAUUCAAUUGUCAGAGGUGAAAUUCUUGGAUUUAUUGAAGACGAACUACUGCGAAAGCAUUYGYCAAGGRUGUUUUCAUUAAUCAGGAACGAAAGUUGRGGGAUCGAAGACGAUCAGAUACCGUCGUAGUCUCAACCAUAAACUAUGCCGACUAGGGAUYGGGCGRUGUUWAAWCUUGACYCGCUCRGCACCUUACGAGAAAUCAAAGUYYUUGGGCUUCURGGGGGAGUACGGUCGCAAGGCUGAAACUUAAAGAAAUUGACGGAAGRGCACCACAAGGGGUGGAACCUGCGGCUUAAUUUGACUCAACACGGGGAAACUCACCAGGUCAGGACACUGUGAGGAUUGACAGAUUGAGAGCUCUUUCUUGAUUCAGUGGAUGGUGGUGCAUGGCCGUUCUUAGUUCGUGGUUAUGAACUGUCAGCUCAAUUGCGAUAACGAACGAGACCGCGACCGCUAAAUAGCCCGGCCCGCCCCGGCGGGUCGCUGGCUUCUUAGCGGGACUAUCGGCUCAAGCCGAUGGAGGUACGCGUCAAUAACAGGUCUGUGAUGCCCUUAGACGUCCUGGGCCGCACGCGCGUUACACUGACUGCCCCAACGUGUUUUCCUUGGCCUAGCGGUCUGGGUAAUCCUGAAAGGCAGUCGUGCUGGGAAUAGGGCAUUGCAAUUAUUGCCCUUGAACGAGGAAUCCCUAGUAAGCGCGAGUCAUCAGCUCGCGUUGACUCUGUCCCUGCUCUUUGUACACACCGCCCGUCGCUACUACCGAUUGGACGGCUUGGUGAGGACUUCGGACCGGACUGGCGUGCGGGAAACUGCGUGCUAGGCUGGAAAGUUGCACGAACCUGGUCGUCUAGAGGAAGAAGGACUCGCUUAACAAAA